ACUCGCCUGCAUGAAGUCGGAAUCGCUAGUAAUCGGAGAUCAGCUACGCUCCGGUGAAUGUGUUCCUGAGCCUUGUACACACCGCCCGUCACGUCAUGGAAGCCGAGAGCGCCCGAAGUCGUCACAUUUCAGUGAUGCCCACGGCGAGAUCGGUGACUGGGACGAAGUCGUAACAAGGUAGCCGUAGGAGAACCUGCGGCUGGAUCACCUCCUUUCUAAGG
Molecule: ribosomal RNA, 221 nt
Filed under: Phycisphaerales bacterium
Lineage: Bacteria; Pseudomonadati; Planctomycetota; Phycisphaerae; Phycisphaerales
Description: partial 16S ribosomal RNA
Rfam family: Bacterial small subunit ribosomal RNA
Source: RNAcentral